This 505-nucleotide long non-coding RNA is filed under the name Chrysemys picta bellii (western painted turtle). Its description in RNAcentral is "lncRNA (ENSCPBG00000016085.1)". The record is from RNAcentral. Lineage: Eukaryota; Metazoa; Chordata; Testudines; Emydidae.
CCGAGAAAUCCAUGUCUUGUCACUUCAGUCCUUCUGAAGAGAGUGUGUGGAAAGUCAUCUUUGCCCUCCUUGAAGCAGAUCGCAAGUGUUUUGGCGUAUGUGAUGUCCAAGAUGAAGCCAUGGUUUCCUACACCAAAGUUCAGCCACUUUGUUUUGGAUUUAUCAUCAUGGAAGCCUUACUUGAAAACAAUUAAAAGAUGGAAGAUUAUGGAACCUUUUCAUUUUAGUGAUGAAAAAACAAGAUGAAUUCAUAUGUGACUGGUAGGAUGCCAAAGCCAGAGAUGACAGCACUCCUGAGGGAAUGAGGGGCAGUAAGGAAGAUAAAAGGUACAAUUAACUGAGCUCUCUUUGGAGCGCUGGAGAAUUCAUCUACCCCAUCCCUCUGGCCAGACACUGUAGUCACCUUCCCUCCUCAGGCAGGUGGGGCAUAGCUCAAUGCAUACAUCACUGUAGCUAUUUCUUUUGCAUUUCUUCUGCUCUUCAGGUGAGAUGCCACCACCCAAAU